Molecule: ribosomal RNA, 432 nt
Filed under: uncultured bacterium
Lineage: Bacteria
Description: partial 16S ribosomal RNA
Rfam family: Bacterial small subunit ribosomal RNA
Source: RNAcentral
AACGAACGCUGGCGGCAUGCCUAACACAUGCAAGUCGAACGAGACCGUCGGGUGUAGUGGCGCACGGGUGCGGACCGCGUGGGAACCUGCCCUUAGGUUCGGCAUAACUCCCCGAAAGGGGUGCUAAUCCGGAUCAUCUUCUCGGGCCAAAGGGUUUUCGCCCUGGGGUUGGCCCGCGCUGGGUUAGCUAGUUGGUAGGGUGAAAGCCUACCAAGGCGACGGUCCAUAGCUGGCCUUACAGGAUGAACCGCCACACUGGGACUGGGACACGGCCCAGACUCCUACGGGAGGCAGCAGUGGGGAAUAUUGGACACUGGGCGCGAGCGUGAUCCAGCAAUGCCGCGUGAGUGAUGAAGGCCUUAGGGUUGUAAAGCUCUUUUACCCGGGAUGAUAAUGACAGUACCGGGAGAAUAAGCUCCGGCUAACUCCGUG